GGCUCCGCCCGGGGAUGGGCCCGCGUCCCAUUAGGUAGUUGGUAGGGUAAAGGCGUACCAAGCCAGAGAUGGGUAGCCGGCCUGAGAGGGUGAACGGCCACACUGGGACUGAGAUACGGCCCAGACUCCUACGGGAGGCAGCAGCUAAGAAUAUUCCGCAAUGGCCGAAAGGCUGACGGAGCGACGCCGCGUGGAUGAGGAAGGCCGAAAGGUUGUAAAAUCCUUUUAUUGCGGAGGAAUAAGCGGGGGAGGGAAUGCCCCCGUGAUGACGUUAAGCAAUGAAUAAGCCCCGGCUAAUUACGUGCCAGCAGCCGCGGUAACACGUAAGGGGCGAGCGUUGUUCGGAAUUAUUGGGCGUAAAGGGCGCGUAGGCGGUUAUGUAAGCCUGGCGUGAAAUACUCUGGCUUAACCAGAGAACGGCGCUGGGAACUGGAUGACUAGAGUCAUGGAGGGGGAGUUGGAAUUCCAGGUGUAGGGGUGAAAUCUGUAGAUAUCUGGAAGAACACCGGUGGCGAAGGCGAAC
Molecule: ribosomal RNA, 523 nt
Filed under: uncultured spirochete
Lineage: Bacteria; Pseudomonadati; Spirochaetota; Spirochaetia; Spirochaetales
Description: bacterial SSU rRNA
Rfam family: Bacterial small subunit ribosomal RNA
Source: RNAcentral